GCUGGCGGCGUGCCUAAUACAUGCAAGUAGAACGCUGAAGGAGGAGCUUGCUCUUCUGGAUGAGUUGCGAACGGGUGAGUAACGCGUAGGUAACCUGCCUGGUAGCGGGGGAUAACUAUUGGAAACGAUAGCUAAUACCGCAUAACAGUAGAUGUUGCAUGACAUCUACUUGAAAGGUGCAAUUGCGUCACUACCAGAUGGACCUGCGUUGUAUUAGCUAGUUGGUGAGGUAACGGCUCACCAAGGCGACGAUACAUAGCCGACCUGAGAGGGUGAUCGGCCACACUGGGACUGAGACACGGCCCAGACUCCUACGGGAGGCAGCAGUAGGGAAUCUUCGGCAAUGGACGGAAGUCUGACCGAGCAACGCCGCGUGAGUGAAGAAGGUUUUCGGAUCGUAAAGCUCUGUUGUAAGAGAAGAACAAGUGUGAGAGUGGAAAGUUCACACUGUGACGGUAUCUUACCAGAAAGGGACGGCUAACUACGUG
This 488-nucleotide ribosomal RNA is filed under the name uncultured bacterium. Its description in RNAcentral is "bacterial SSU rRNA". It matches the Rfam family "Bacterial small subunit ribosomal RNA", at positions 35 to 507 of the family's 1533-position model. The record is from RNAcentral.